GGAGAAGGUGUUUCUCUUCACGAUGAGGAUCCCACCCUUGUCCUAAAGUUUCUUUUGUUUGCUGAAGAUGGAGUAAUUGGAAGUUUCGAGGUCUGAAGCAAAAUUGAACUGGACUGGCCUGUCAUCGAACCCGAAGAGCCGCGUAGUCGAUCUGACCCCCUUGGUCCUCAAUCCUGGAGGCUUUCACUUCUCGUACUUGGCCAGGAACAAUGCGCACAAGCUCCACUGCCCUGGCUUCCCCUGGCCCUCAGCCUGUAGUGGUUCUGCCAGCACCGAGGAGAUGCUAUCCCCAUCUGUGAAGGCCUCCAUCUUCACCCCGCCUGUCCUGCUCAAGUUCCAGCCUGUGCCCAGACCCAAAGAUGAAUCAGAGAAUGACCCUGGCAGCGCAGAGUCCACGCCCCACCAGAGGGACCCAUAACCUCUUCUGUACAGACCACGGCAGGAGAAUGAAUAAAGUUCCCCUGGUGGUUCCUUCCUCGUGCCACGCUACCCAGGGGCCGUGCAGUCCCACGGGCUCU
Molecule: long non-coding RNA, 518 nt
Organism: Globicephala melas (long-finned pilot whale)
Lineage: Eukaryota; Metazoa; Chordata; Mammalia; Artiodactyla; Delphinidae
Source: RefSeq, a predicted model, not a curated record